This 906-nucleotide ribosomal RNA is filed under the name uncultured archaeon. RNAcentral describes it as "bacterial SSU rRNA". It matches the Rfam family "Archaeal small subunit ribosomal RNA", at positions 21 to 903 of the family's 1478-position model. The record is from RNAcentral.
CCCCACUGCUAUCGGGGUGGGACUAAAACAUGCAAGUCGAGCGCCUCCAAGCUAUGGUGAAGGCGCGGCAAACGGCUCAGUAACACGUGGCCAACCUACCCUUGGGACGGAGACAACCCCGGGAAACUGGGGCUAAUCCCCGAUAGGUAAGGAAUCCUGGAAUGGAUCUUUGCUGAAAGGGCGUCUAGACCAUGCUUCUUGACGUCGCCCAAGGAUGGAGCCGCGACCGAUCAGGUAGUUGGCGAGGCAACGGCUCACCAAGCCUAUAACCGGUACGGGCCGUGAGAGCGGGAGCCCGGAGAUGGGCACUGAGACAAGGGCCCAGGCCCUACGGGGCGCAGCAGUUGCGAAAACUCCGCAAUGCGCGAAAGCGUGACGGGGCUACCCCGAGUGCCGCCCGUUGAGGGCGGCUUUUCCACGGUGUAAGGAGCCGUGGGAAUAAGGAGAGGGCAAGACUGGUGUCAGCCGCCGCGGUAAUACCAGCUCUCCGAGUGGUGGGGACGAUUAUUGGGCUUAAAGCGUUCGUAGCCGGCUUAACAAGUCUUCCGUUAAAUCCAACGAUCUAAUCGUUGGGCUGCGGGAGAUACUGUUGGGCUAGGAGGCGGGAGAAGCCGACGGUAUUCUUGGGGUAGGGGUGAAAUCCUGUAAUCCCGGGAGGACCACCAGUGGCGAAGGCGGUCGGCUAGAACGCGCUCGACGGUGAGGGACGAAAGCUGGGGGAGCGAACCGGAUUAGAAACCCGGGUAGUCCCAGCUGUAAACGAUGCGGGCUAGGUGUUGGGGUGGCCACGAGCCACCUCAGUGCCGCAUGGAAGCAAUUAAGCCCGCCGCCUGGGGAGUACGGCCGCAAGGCUGAAACUUAAAGGAAUUGGCGGGGGAGCACCACAAGGCGUGAAGCUUGCGGUUU